Molecule: ribosomal RNA, 371 nt
Filed under: uncultured organism
Description: bacterial SSU rRNA
Rfam family: Bacterial small subunit ribosomal RNA
Source: RNAcentral
CGGGGGGGUAAGCGUUGUUCGGAAUUACUGGGCGUAAAGGGCUCGUAGGCGGCCAACUAAGUCAUACGUGAAAUCCCUCAGCUUAACUGGGGAACUGCGUGUGAUACUGGAUGGCUUGGAUUUGGGAGAGGGAUGCGGAAUUCCAGGUGUAGCGGUGAAAUGCGUAGAUAUCUGGAGGAACACCGGUGGCGAAGGCGGCAUCCUGGACCAAUAUUGACGCUGAGGAGCGAAAGCCAGGGGAGCAAACGGGAUUAGAUACCCCGGUAGUCCUGGCCCUAAACGAUGAAUGCUUGGUGUAGCGGGUAUCGAUCCCUGCUGUGCCGAAGCUAACGCAUUAAGCAUUCCGCCUGGGGAGUACGGUCGCAAGGCUG